GGACUACUAGGGUAUCUAAUCCUGUUUGCUCCCCACGCUUUCGCGCCUCAGCGUCAAUUCCAGGCCAGAUGGCCGCCUUCGCCACUGGUGUUCUUCCCAAUAUCUACGAAUUUCACCUCUACACUGGGAAUUCCGCCAUCCUCUCCUGGAUUCAAGCGCAACAGUAUCAAGCGCAAUUCCCGGGUUGAGCCCGGGGCUUUCACGCCUGACUUAUUGCACCGCCUACGCGCCCUUUACGCCCAGUAAAUCCGAACAACGCUAGCCCCCUUCGUAUUACCGCGGCUGCUGGCAC
This 292-nucleotide ribosomal RNA is filed under the name uncultured bacterium. RNAcentral's name for it is "partial 16S ribosomal RNA". The record is from RNAcentral.